AUUGAACGCUGGCGGCAUGCUUUACACAUGCAAGUCGAACGGGGUGAAGGGGCGAACUCUUCAUUCAGUGGCGAACGGGUGAGUAAUGCAUCGGAACGUAUCCCGUAGUGGGGAGUAACCCAGCGAAAGCUGGGCUAAUACCGCAUAUGCUCUACGGAGGAAAGUGGGGACCGUGCAAGGGCCUCACGCUAUGGGAGCGGCCGAUGUCCGAUUAGCUAGUUGGUGGGGUAAUGGCCCACCAAGGCGACGAUCGGUAGCUGGUCUGAGAGGAUGAUCAGCCACACUGGGACUGAGACACGGCCCAGACUCCUACGGGAGGCAGCAGUGGGGAAUUUUUGGGACAAGUGGGGGCAACCCGUGAUCCAGCCAUGCCGCGUGCGGGAAGAAGGCC
This 391-nucleotide ribosomal RNA is filed under the name uncultured bacterium. RNAcentral describes it as "bacterial SSU rRNA". It matches the Rfam family "Bacterial small subunit ribosomal RNA", at positions 29 to 416 of the family's 1533-position model. The record is from RNAcentral.